GUGCUCACUUCAGCAGCACAUAUAUGAGAAUUGGAGGAUACAGAGAAGAUUAGCAUGGUCUCUGUGCAAGGAUGACAUGCAACUUCAUGAAGCAUUUCAUAUUUUU
RNAcentral lists this small nuclear RNA (106 nucleotides) under Castor canadensis (American beaver). Lineage: Eukaryota; Metazoa; Chordata; Mammalia; Rodentia; Castoridae. The record is from RNAcentral.